This 261-nucleotide ribosomal RNA is filed under the name uncultured bacterium. RNAcentral's name for it is "partial 16S ribosomal RNA". It matches the Rfam family "Bacterial small subunit ribosomal RNA", at positions 95 to 353 of the family's 1533-position model. The record is from RNAcentral.
UUGGCGGACGGGUGAGUAACGCGUGAGUAACCUGCCUUCAAGAGGGGGAUAACAUUCUGAAAAGAAUGCUAAUACCGCAUAACGUAUCGGGAUGGCAUCUUCCUGAUACCAAAGAUUUUAUCGCUUAGAGAUGGGCUCGCGUCUGAUUAGAUAGUUGGCGGGGUAACGGCCCACCAAGUCGACGAUCAGUAGCCGGACUGGGAGGUUGAACGGCCACAUUGGGACUGAGACACGGCCCAGACUCCUACGGGAGGCAGCAUG